AGUAUGGCCUGGAUCACUGCCCUCCUCAUGGCCAGUCACUUGUGUUUUUGUGUGGUAGAGCUUUAAGCCUCAACAGCUGUCUGCUCUGCUGGAAGCUAUUCACUGCAAAACCUUACUGCAAUUUCUCUUCUCAUGGAAUCAGCAAAUGUUGAGUCCUGCACAUUGCUUACAUCACUAUUUGGAGUACAGACCAGUCACAACAUCCCCUGGAAGAGAUCAAAGGUCAUCAAAAAGGAGUCAGUGGAUGAUGGAGAAAGAACACAGAGGACAUUUAGAUCUGACUCCAGGGAUCUUCCUUGAACAGACAGGUUUCUAAAGGGCUGUUGUGAAGCUCAAUGUGGGAGCUUUCUGCCAUAGCCAUCUUGGCAGUGACGACUCCGCCUAACUUCUAGCUAAUCUCUACAGACCUACAGUUCCUCCUGUGAAGUUACAAGGAUAAAUUGAUGAUUAUAAGUUCUGAAAUGAAUACGAGAAUUAGAACAACUAAGUUGACAUUACUUUAAUCAAGCCAGGAAUGUAUGAUAAAAGUUGAAUUGAAAUUGAAAGUUGGAGAGUUUACAGUGUGGUGGGAAAUGGGUGUCAACACUGAUUGGAAAUGAAAAGCUGCACAAAGACAGGAUCUACAGGGCUCUUGUACUAAAUUGCUCUUCACUGUAAAGAUGUUUCUAUUUUUCAGCUCACUGAAUGUAUAUGAUGUAAUAAACCAAAUGACAGUUAUCAGUUAAAUACACGCAUUCUACAGAUAAAAAAACAUGUAAAUAAAAAUGCAGAUGAACCAGAUUGUAUCUUUGUCUUUUUUCU
Long non-coding RNA from Cottoperca gobio, 801 nucleotides. RefSeq lists it as uncharacterized. NCBI's taxonomy places the organism in Eukaryota, Metazoa, Chordata, Actinopteri, Perciformes, Bovichtidae. The record is from RefSeq and is a predicted model, not a curated record. The transcript is spliced from 3 exons.